RNAcentral lists this ribosomal RNA (254 nucleotides) under uncultured bacterium. RNAcentral's name for it is "partial 16S ribosomal RNA". It matches the Rfam family "Bacterial small subunit ribosomal RNA", at positions 524 to 777 of the family's 1533-position model. The record is from RNAcentral.
UACGGGGGGAGCAAGCGUUGUUCAGAAUUACUGGGCGUAAAGGGCGCGUAGGCGGCGACUCAAGUUAGAUGUGAAAGUCCUGGGCUUAACCUGGGGACUGCAUUUGAUACUGGGUUGCUUGAAUUCGGGAGAGGAUAGCGGAAUUCCCAGUGUAGAGGUGAAAUUCGUAGAUAUUGGGAAGAACACCGGUGGCGAAGGCGGCUAUCUGGACCGACAUUGACGCUGAGGCGCGAAAGCGUGGGGAGCAAACAGGG